UGGGGAAUAUUGGACAAUGGGCGCAAGCCUGAUCCAGCCAUGCCGCGUGAGUGAUGAAGGCCCUAGGGUUGUAAAGCUCUUUCACCGGUGAAGAUAAUGACGGUAACCGGAGAAGAAGCCCCGGCUAACUUCGUGCCAGCAGCCGCGGUAAUACGAAGGGGGCUAGCGUUGUUCGGAUUUACUGGGCGUAAAGCGCACGUAGGCGGACUAUUAAGUCAGGUGUGAAAUCCCGGGGCUCAACCCCGGAACUGCCUUUGAUACUGGUAGUCUUGAGUUCGAGAGAGGUGAGUGGAAUUCCGAGUGUAGAGGUGAAAAUCGUAGAUAUUCGGAGGAACACCAGUGGCGAAGGCGGCUCACUGGCUCGAUACUGACGCUGAGGUGCGAAAGCGUGGGGAGCAAACAGG
RNAcentral lists this ribosomal RNA (404 nucleotides) under Actinomycetes bacterium. RNAcentral describes it as "Actinobacteria bacterium partial 16S ribosomal RNA". It matches the Rfam family "Bacterial small subunit ribosomal RNA", at positions 355 to 776 of the family's 1533-position model. Lineage: Bacteria; Bacillati; Actinomycetota; Actinomycetes. The record is from RNAcentral.